CAACGCCGCGUGAGCGAAGAAGGCCUUCGGGUUGUAAAGCUCUGUCAGGGGGAAAGAAGGCACCUGGGUUAAUAGCCCAAGGGCUGACGGUACCCCCAAAGGAAGCCACGGCUAACUACGUGCCAGCAGCCGCGGUAAUACGUAGGUGGCGAGCGUUGUCCGGAAUCAUUGGGCGUAAAGAGCGCGUAGGUGGCUUGUCAGGUCUGAUGUGAAAUCCUGGGGCUCAACUCCAGAACUGCAUCGGAAACCGGCUUGCUAGAGUCUGGGAGAGGAGAGUGGAAUUCCUGGUGUAGCGGUGAAAUGCGUAGAUAUCAGGAGGAACACCGGUAGCGAAGGCGGCUCUCUGGAACAGUACUGACGCUGAGGCGCGAAAGCUAGGGGAGCGAACAGGGUUAGAUACCCUGGUAGUCCUAGCCGUAAACGAUGGACACUAGGUGUCGGGGGUGUCGACUCCCUCGGUGCCGAAGCUAACGCAUUAAGUGUCCCGCCUGGGGAGUACGGCCGCAAGGCUA
RNAcentral lists this ribosomal RNA (512 nucleotides) under uncultured bacterium. RNAcentral describes it as "bacterial SSU rRNA". It matches the Rfam family "Bacterial small subunit ribosomal RNA", at positions 392 to 896 of the family's 1533-position model. The record is from RNAcentral.